AAACGGGAUAGAGUAAAGGAAACUCAUUAGGCUCAUGUUCUAAAGUUAUAGGUUCAAAUCCUAUUCCCGUAUU
RNAcentral lists this transfer RNA (73 nucleotides) under Gredgaria maugeana. RNAcentral's name for it is "tRNA-Met". It matches the Rfam family "tRNA". Rfam says of the family: Transfer RNA (tRNA) molecules are approximately 80 nucleotides in length. Their secondary structure includes four short double-helical elements and three loops (D, anti-codon, and T loops). The record is from RNAcentral. Lineage: Eukaryota; Rhodophyta; Florideophyceae; Ceramiales; Rhodomelaceae.